UACGGAGGAUGCAAGCGUUAUCCGGAAUGAUUGGGCGUAAAGCGUCCGCAGGUGGCAAUGUAAGUCUGCUGUCAAAGCGUCUGGCUCAACCAGAUAAAGGCAGUGGAAACUACAUAGCUAGAGUAAGGUAGGGGUAGAGGGAAUUCCUGGUGUAGCGGUGAAAUACGUAGAGAUCAGGAAGAACACCGGUGGCGAAAGCGCUCUGCUGGACCUAAACUGACACUGAGGGACGAAAGCUAGGGGAGCGAAUGGG
Molecule: ribosomal RNA, 253 nt
Filed under: uncultured bacterium
Lineage: Bacteria
Description: partial 16S ribosomal RNA
Rfam family: Bacterial small subunit ribosomal RNA
Source: RNAcentral